CAGUGGAGGGAGGCGGCAGCCCAAGUACUGGCGAGGCUUGGGCCGUCAGCACUUGCGGAGAGCAGCAGCAGCCACCUUAGUCUCUAGUGAAUCUUAACCAAGGGCAGGAGAGUCAAAAGGGUGUUUUUAGGCUGGGAGAGAAAUCUAUCUGCGGAAAACAAACCCACGUGUGGACAACAGGGGCCAAGCCUGGAUGAUUUCUCUGAAGUUACUGGUGAGAAAUGCAGCUCUGAGAACACGCCACCUCCACACCGCCUCCACACCACCUCCACCCACUCUGGCCAUGCAGGAUCCGCCCCCUCUUCAGUAUCUUUGCUACAACUUCUGCUCUGUUUCACACAGCAGAAACAGCCAUGAGGCAGCUCUCAGUACCUUAGUAGGACCGGUGAUGCCUUUUUUUUUUUUUUUCCUUAGUCAUAUCUCCAAGCAGAGCAUCAUCACCAGCUUCUGAAUUGGCUUUGACGAACGUUCUUAGCUGUCAAGGAUCCUUUUAACUGUCACUUUGGGCAAGGUUAUGUUAUUGCAGACAUUUUGAAUAUUUAACAAAAAUAAUUUCUAUAGCAGUUUUUUAAAAAAAAUUUAUUGGAUUUGGUGUGUCCAAAGCUGGAAUAUGAUGAACCCAACCAAACCACCUCCUAGAAAGAUGGCUUCUUCAAAAGCAGCUGGGCAGCACUGAAUGCAUCUGGAACUCUUUCCUCUCAUUCAUUCCACCCCACAUGUUCCACCAGUCUUCAGCAUGGCUGUUGCAUCUGAUUGUUUUAUAGUACUCAAUUCUUCCUCUUCGUACUCACUGACAGUAACCUUCCUUGAUUAUGAUUUUCAAUUUGUGACUGAUCACCUUUUCCUUUCAAGAGCAGAGACUCAUCUUUGACCUCAAUGACUUCUCCUUUUCUGAGGCUGAACAUCUUCAAGAUUUAGGGUCAACUCCUCCUCUCUAAACACCUGCAAAAGCAUUUAAAAAUGAGUCAGUUCCAGGGCUUAGUUUUCCUUUAUUAUACCAAAUUUAUUCAUAAUACAUUAUGCAGGUGUUUUGAUGAGAAUCCAGAAACAUCUUGAGACACCAUAUUUCUCUGAAAUGUGAGAAUUUAAAACCAUCGCUGUUCCAGGACAAGUCUUGUGGAUAGAGCUUUUUAUUGCAUUCAUUUGCAUUAUUGUGUUCCCUUCUCAGAACUCCUGUCAAUUAACAACAGCUUGAUCUUGCAGUUGAGAUAGCAGAACCCAGAGAAAAUUCACCCCAAGUCACACACUUGCAAGAUGGUGGAGCCAGGACUAGACCCAGUGUUCUUUCUGCUAGAUCAUUCUGCCUUUUCAGAAUUAAGGACAGAUCAGACAAUAAGCUUAUUCCUGAUCGGGCAUAUGACAGGUUCGAGCUGGAGGGGACCCCUCUCUAUACCUAUUUCAACUCCACCUUCCUAGAUAUUCAGUAGAUGUAUCUAAUUAGGAAAAAUGCA
This 1451-nucleotide long non-coding RNA is filed under the name Bos indicus x Bos taurus (hybrid cattle). RNAcentral describes it as "lncRNA (ENSBIXG00000015046.1)". Lineage: Eukaryota; Metazoa; Chordata; Mammalia; Artiodactyla; Bovidae. The record is from RNAcentral.